GAUGAACGCUGGCGGCGUGCCUAAUACAUGCAAGUCGAGCGAACAGACGAGGAGCUUGCUCCUCUGACGUUAGCGGCGGACGGGUGAGUAACACGUGGAUAACCUACCUAUAAGACUGGGAUAACUUCGGGAAACCGGAGCUAAUACCGGAUAAUAUAUUGAACCGCAUGGUUCAAUAGUGAAAGACGGUUUUGCUGUCACUUAUAGCUGGAUCCGCGCCGCAUUAGCUAGUUGGUAAGGUAACGGCUUACCAAGGCAACGAUGCGUAGCCGACCUGAGAGGGUGAUCGGCCACACUGGAACUGAGACACGGUCCAGACUCCUGCGGGAGGCAGCAGUAGGGAAUCUUCCGCAAUGGGCGAAAGCCUGACGGAGCAACGCCGCGUGAGUGAUGAAGGUCUUCGGAUCGUAAAACUCUGUUAUUAGGGAAGAACAAAUGUGUAAGUAACUAUGCACGUCUUGACGGUACCUAAUCAGAAAGCCACGGCUAACUACGUG
This 497-nucleotide ribosomal RNA is filed under the name uncultured bacterium. RNAcentral's name for it is "partial 16S ribosomal RNA". It matches the Rfam family "Bacterial small subunit ribosomal RNA", at positions 28 to 507 of the family's 1533-position model. The record is from RNAcentral.